Molecule: ribosomal RNA, 253 nt
Filed under: uncultured bacterium
Lineage: Bacteria
Description: partial 16S ribosomal RNA
Rfam family: Bacterial small subunit ribosomal RNA
Source: RNAcentral
UACAGAGGUCCCAAGCGUUGUUCGGAUUCACUGGGCGUAAAGGGUGCGUAGGUGGUGAGGUAAGUCGGAUGUGAAAGCUCGGAGCUCAACUCCGAAAUGGCAUUGGAAACUACCUUGCUCGAGGGUUGGAGGGGGGACUGGAAUGCUUGGUGUAGCAGUGAAAUGCGUAGAUAUCAGGAGGAACACCGGUGGCGAAGGCGGGUCUCUGGGCAGUAACUGACGCUGAGGAGCGAAAGCGUGGGGAGCGAACAGG